AAAAGGUAACACAAAUUUUGGGAAGUACAAAGGUUCUAGAUUUGAUAUUGAAGAAUAAUUUCGAUAUAUUCCCAUCCAAUCAAACAAAAUUUUUUGAUGAGUCUUAAAAUUUUUAUUAAUUUUGAUACUGAUAUACAUAUCUGUCCAGUCAUCAAUAUUUCUUUUGUUUGUAAGGUAAAAAUGAAGAAUUCUAUAAUUUAAAUAUUUUCUAUCUAGAUUUUUAUGGGUAUUAAUAAGAUAUCCUUUUUUUCAGUGUGUAUGAGUCCUUACUAUUCCCAUAAUUUAUAUAAUAAUGUGAUAAAAGAUUAUAGUGUUUUUAAAAUUUUUCUUUUUGAGUCAUCGAUAAAAUCAUUAGUUUAAAAUUUUCAUUCAUGUAAUGAAUUAAUUGGUUUUUUAUAUUUUAUAUGAAUACAAUUUUAUUGAUUCUUUAUUUUGAACAGUAUAAUGUUGAUUGACUCUAUUUCAUCAUUUUUUUCUUACUAUUCGAGAUCAUUUGGUUUGAGAUAAAUUAUAUCGAUAAUGAUCUUUGAACCGGUUUUUUCGUUCACUUGACACAGUAUUCACGUUCUUCUCAUCAGCUUGCACGCACGUCACUUCCACAUGAAAGAUGUUAAAGACAUGAGAUAAAUUUUUUGUGGAUCUUUUUGGCACUCACUUGUUAUUGAUCUAAAAAGGAGAGAAGCACUAGCUUGAGAAACCAUAGUUAAUAGAGGUAGGAUUUGUAACGCCAGCCAAUCAACAUCUAAGCUUGUAUUACAUCCAAACGUAGUACUCAAACGAAAGCAACCGAUGGAAGAAGAAGACGCCAGCCAAUCAACAUCUAAGCUUGUAUUACAUCCAGUACUCAAACGAAAGCAACCGAUGGAAGAAGAAGACUUCAGUCAAAGCUACUCUUUCCUAAAUGCUGUUAAGAUACGGAGGAUUAUACUGUUCUAUUGCGAAGAUUUUUAUAACGCUGUACGAGAUGAUUUAUCCUCAGGGCCACUAAAGGCUGCCAAUGGUAACGUAGGUAGGUCUGUGGGUAAUAAUGGGUGGUAACCUUUCUGCAAACAAGCCUUAUAUAUGAGCUCUAUAACAAUUACCUCGCCGUGGAGGAACGAAACAAGUCGACGCAUUAUUCUUCCGCCCUUUAGGUACGAUAUCUCUCUUCACUUCUAGUUUCCUUGUGGGAAUUCUGGAUUCUGGCGGAGAAACGUUGCAAUUUGUUGUUAUUUUUGUUGUCGAUCCCCUAUUCUCUUUUAGGGGAUGAAAUUUGCGCCAUUGGAUUUGGAUUCCCUGUCAAUUGCGUUCUUUUCGUUCUUUCUCGAGUUUGGUUUAUCAGAUUUGGAUUCCGGUCUCUCAUCAAUUUUUUCUACCAAUCUUUUACCUGACCAGAACAGCUAUGCUAAAUUAGAGAGGCAGCAUAGGGCAUAAUUCAUUUCCUUGCAUUAGGGGUUUAUAUUGUAGUCAAGCCUGGCUUCUGCAAGAGGAUUGAUCAAAGAUCAAGCUUUGUGUCAAAGGUUUGAUCAAACCAUCAAAUUCUAGUUUGGAAUAGACCUUAUUGUAACUCAAGAACCAGAACAAUGAGAUAAAGAUUGGCUAUGCAUUAAAUAUGAUGAUUGGAUAUUUUCACCAUUCAUUGUUCCCAUUUAAACGGGUAAAAGAUAUCACUUUGUCAGUUGUUGGGAGUAUGAGAUGAAUUUUUUCAACUAUUAUUGAGAGAAUAUAAUACUCAUCUCCGGAGAAAUAUCUCUUCAUCCGCCAUCGUAUACCAUCGGGUUUUCAAUGUAUGCUUAUAUUAGUUGACGAUUAUAUAUGUGAUCGAGAUAUAUUGUAUAUAAUCGAUAUAUAAUUUUAUUUAUUAAAUAAAAAUUAUUAUUGUUUAUAAUGGUUCAUAAAUUUGUAUUUGACAUAUGAGUUUCAAGCAUAUUUGAUUUAUUAUCAUAUCAUAUGAAAAUAUAAAUAUGUAAUAUAUAUUAUUUUAUAUUUAUUUUCAGAUCAACCUACUUGAAUAAAGGAAAGAUUUUUUAGCACGGCCAAGAAACUUUAGUUUAUAAAUUAUAUUAUUGUAAGUACAUGAAUUUUAAAUUUAAUGAAAUUUUUUCCUCUGUAAUUAUGGAUUUCAAGUGAUGAUUUAUUUAUGAUAAUUGGCUUGUGAUAGAAGAAGAGAAGGAUUUAGCCACAGAGAGAAGAAAUGGCAGCGGAGAAGUGGCAUUACAAUGUGGUGUCGUUGCUCUCCGGAACGGAGAGGGACUUUCUCAUCCGUAACAAUGGCGAGAAGGUACUCGAAAGUCUUCCGUCAAUUACUAAUAAUUGUUGAGCUUCAUGCUUACCUUAGAAAGUUAGGAUCUCGUGAGACUUGCCUAUCAAUCUAUUGCUACAGAAACUUAGAAACUUGUCGAAUUUGCCUAUCAAUCUAAGCUAGCCUCGAUUUAGUAGAUUUUGUUCGAAGCAACAACUAGUCUUCCAUGCUCGUCGGACAGUCUUUUUUGCCUUUGAGAUCUCCACCAUGUCAAAUGGAUGCUCUGUCUUCGUCAAGUGCAGAGAGAGAGCAUUUUUUGAUCCGUGGUAAGGGACAUAAAGCAAUAGGAUGCAUCAAAGCCUGACGGGUUGAGUUUUGGAUGAGAGAUUAAGAGAGGCGUAGGAGGGAAGGAAAAGGAGGAGGAUAAGAUGAGGCGAAUUGCAUAUUGCUAAAAUGCUAAUCUUUCCCUAUUUGAAGUAUGGAAAAUGCAUGGCAACUUUAGUUUCUCACUGACAAGCUGUGAUUUGUUCAGGUAGCCAUCAGCAGCCUUGACGGGAAAAAGUUUGGUCUCUUCUUGUCGGACAUCUGUUACGAAAGAAUCGUCACUGAUGAUCUGAUCAAAGUAUACAAUCAACUGUCCUCGGAGGGCCGCGAUUUCGAGAUUGUCUUCGUGUCAUGUGAUUCAUGCGUGGAGACCUUCAAUAGGUACUUCUCAGAUAUGCCAUGGUUGGCAGUCUCAUUUGCGGACUCCGACACACGCGAAAGGCUACAUGAUCAUUUCGGCAGUUUCGAGGAGUAUUAUCCCGCUCAGCUUGUCAUCUAUGAUGCCGCUAUUGGCAUGGUCGUUAACGAAGAAGGUCUCCGAGCUGUGGCAAAAUAUGGUGUAAACGGGUAUCCAUUUACUGUUAACAGGUUCUACGAGUUGGAGGCGGCUGCUAAGAAGGAACAGAGUCUUCGAAGUCCGUUGGUUUCGCCGUCCCGGGACUACUUGAUCUCCAAUGAUGGAUCCAAGGUAAUCGAUGAUCUCCUUGUAGGAAGAGAAUUAAACUACAUUCUUGAUCCACCAGCUUACUACCACCAUCUAAUCUAUGCUAAAUUGAAGCAGGUUGCCGUGUCGGAUCUCGAAGGAAAGAUUGUGGCCUUUUACUUCUGGUUUAAUAUUCCUGAUAAAUACGGCGGUCCCCAUAAGUUGACUCUGGUGCUGGCUGAAAUCUAUAGGAAGCUUAAGGAAGCCGGGGAGAGCUUCGAAGUUGUGCUGGUGCCAUUAGAUGAUAAUAAAUCAUCCUAUGAACAAGGCCUGGCAAGCAUGCCAUGGCUCGCGAUUCCUUUCGAAGACGAGGGUUGUGAGAAGCUUGUCCGCUACUUUGAGCUCUGGCCCUUCCAUUUACCAAUCGUGCUUUCGAAGACGAGGGGUUGGCUGAGUUGUGUUGAUCUUUGUUGAUUCCUGCGGAUCCCCCAGAUGAAGGAAAAGACCAUCCUUACUGCGCCAGUCUCUUAGAAAUUCCACAUGCUGCUUGAACUGGGUGGAUGCUUGUUGGAGCUUUAACGAGCAUCGUCUCGCAAACUUCUGAAGUUUUGGGUCCUUCCUCCACAAAAUCUGCUCAUUGACUCUUCUUUCAGUUAGUUGUCACAUCCAAGUAGGUUCGCAUCACUUCCGCUUUUGAUUGACAUUUCGUUGGGAAAUGAAGCGGACAAUCUACUCUCAGUAGCACUGAUCACCGUUGGUGAGGAUUUGACAACUAUUGUCUUCCAUUAUCUUCGAAGGGUCUUUGAACUUGUGCAGAGCUCCUCUGCUGGAUAGAUAAGAGAACUGGGGUACUCGGUUUCGCCCAUUCUCUUGAAAGUUGAGAAGGCAAAGGUUACUUGACUUCGCCCGCCUCCUCGAGGUUGUACUUCAUGCAUCGAGCUGGUUACUGGCCUUCGCCUGCUCUUUGCUCACACUUCUGAAGCACUUGAAGUGUUUGCACUCCUUGCGUUGAGUUAGCUACUGUGAUUCACCUUCUCAAUGCCAUUGAACUUCUGGAAUGCAGGAAGUUUUCACCCCAACUUGGAAUAAUUUUCUGAUAGAUGAGGUCGCCUCUGGGAUUGUACCGUCUUCUCCAUCAACCCUGCCGCCUACUCCAUUGAGUAGCAAAGGUACAACACCGCGUACUGCCUGCUUCGUUCCUUGGUCGUGCACUCUUGCAUGACCCGAAGUCCUUCACUUACGGCUAUCUUGAUGAGAAACUUGUUGACACCGGUCUUACGAAGUUUCUUGGCCUCUGCCCUUCAGCCUUGUCUCGGUACUUGGAGAUUGCCUCUGCAUGCUCCACCUCCUCGGCCCCUUUCACGACCAAGCGCUCUCCCUCCAUGAGAGCAAGGGAUCAAUGACUUUCACGGAAGUCCCGCCUCUGCGGUACUAUGGCGCUGCCAUGCCCAUGGCACUACUAUCCGUCGCCUCGCCUCUGAAUCCCUUUUCCUCACAAUCAGUAGAUAUGUCUCCGUGGCACUCCUCUGAGUCCACCUCCAUUUUAACUGAUGCUUGCUUUUGGGUAGCUAAGUCCCUCUGGACUCGUCGUCGCUUCCUCGCCCCUUUCGACCCCCUGCUUCAACACCUCUGUGUUCUCCAAGCAGACUGUUUGGUCGAUGGAAAGACAGACUGCAACUCCCAUGCAUGGCCUCUGCCAUCGCGUUGUAGGGUUUGCACCGAUUCUGUUCUCCUUAGCUUCCUUGGUAGCAAUGUUCGCUUACUCGACUUUGUCCUCUGACUUGUCGGGCUCCCUUAAGCGAAUAUGAGCUCUGGAGCAGUCCAACUCUCCAGCUGCUUCAAUCAUACCUCUGCAUGAUCAAGUCCCUCCGUUGGGACUCACUAGUACUUGCAUUCGAACUUCUCCCUUGGUGGAACACAGCCCCCAUAUGCUGAUGACCAAGGCUUUCAUCCGAUGCAAAAUUCGGUGCACGCCCGGAAGACCCGCCUCUGCGGUACCAUGGCCUUCACUCCUUGAAUCCAUAGCCCUUCUUGCCGUUGUGUUGUUCACCGAAGUGGAGCUUCCAGUAACUCCCGAUCAUACCUCCAUAUGAUCUCAUCCCUCAUGGGACUUCCGUGUGUAUCGCAUUGCCACGAACUGUUCCACCACGAUCCACUGCACCAUGUCGCCUCCUGGUGACAUCUCCAUUGCAUUCUGAUCCUUGUGGAAUAAACUCGAAUUGUGAACCCUCCAUGUGUGGCCUCUUGCCAAUACAUUGCAGGGUCUCUUCCACCUUCGAUUUUGUUCGCUCCUUUGGCAAUCGACCUUCAUCCACCCACUCUUGGGUCACACCUAGAUGAAGCACCGCUCUAGGACAGUCCGUCGCCUAGUAGCUCCCGAAGUCCACCGACUUCACUGUAGUUUGUGCACCAUUGUCUGGAUCCUGGGCCUCUGCCCCUACCAGCACAAUCUCCGCUGCGCACCGCUUCCUUCAUGCAACUUGAAUGGCAACACUGUGGCAUAUUCUUCAAGAGUACUCGCCUCUGCGUCCUCUUGCCCCGUGCUAAGGCCAUCUGAACCCAACUUCGCCUCCGCAAAUUGAGUCGCCUUAGUUCCUCCAUCAAAUGCUCCUCCGAGAUAAGGUGUAUGUGCCUAGAAGCUUCCUUCAUCUUUGGCACCAUGCAAGAUGAGUCCGCUCCGUCAGAAAGGACCCAUGGAACAACAUGAUUCUACUCUUGCCUUUGCGAGAGUUCAUGUCCUUGACCUCUGUCUAAGGAAAGCACUGCGCCUCCGCUCCAUGUUCCAACUUCUCUGCUGGCUCCCUUCAUGCGGCUUGGGUACUUCGCCAAGUUACACCCAAGUUGCUCCGCUCCUCGUUUUUGCAUUGAGUCGAUGGUGGCCCUCGCGCCCACCAUUCCACGGGUCAGCCCUCCUUUGAGUCCGAUCUCCAUAUCGACUCUAAGUGUGCCUUCAUUUAAGUUGCUUCAGGUCGCUCCCCCACUUGAUCUCGCAAUGCAUCCACCAAUGCAUUCUCUCGAGCGAGAUCAUGCGACAACUCCUCGCUGCUUGCUCGAUCCAUUGAGCUUCGUGGAGUUGUUGUUUGUGAGGUACUCCUCCUCAACAUGUGAGGUCCGUCUCACAUGAUUCUCCCUCUGGAGAGCCGAGACUUAUCCCUCCUGGAUAACUGUCCCGUUGGAGCAACAUCUCUCUUCGUUUAUGAGAUCACCAUCCCCUUAGACUACUCCGAUCUGCUGAACAAACUGUGCAUUGUUCUGCCUCCUGCAAACGCACUUGCUAGAUUGCGCCUCCACGUCAAUACAGCCACCGCUGCACCCCUCAAGGCCUAGAAACAUGCUGAACUCGUUGCACACUUCAGUCUCCUCCGGACGUAUCCUUCGCAUGCCGAAGAGAAAGUUUUUAAUGCUCCAUGGCGUCGAGUCUCGGCCGCCUUGGGAUGGCCACAAACAUUCCAUCGUCCGCAUACAGGCCCAUGCAUGAGUACCAAAUUCUUCGAGUUAGCAAUUCCCCUCACCUCUGUGAGCUUUGCAUAACUCUUUUGGUCGUUGAGCAACUCAUUCCACCUUGCAUAGUCUCAUUCUUGCUAAGCGCCUCGCUUGCCUAGAGCACCAUCAAGUAUAGUUGUCAACGUUGAGCCGUAGCUCAAACUCAGCCAUCCCAACCUUUGUGCGCUCCGCAUUCUUCCAAGCUUGCCUGUUCUCGUGGUGCCUCUUGCGCGAAGGGUUGGCCAUUCCUCUGAAUGCCAAUGUUAGAUGCCCGCUCCUCUGAGCAACUCUUUUCCUUACAUCUUCAUGCCCGUUUUCCCUCAAAUGGUCGCGCGUUGCUGACUGCCCUCAACGCAGCCCCGCUAGGUCCCCCACGUUUGCAUGUCAAGUGUUUCUAUGAGUGCUUGUCCCGCUCUGAUACCAUCUGUCACGGACUUAGCUGGUUUUGCCUAAGUCGUGCGGCACCCUUGCGUGUCUGUCCGCAAAGGUCAGCCUCCCCGAAGCCUCCCCCUCGUCCCUUAGGACCAACAAAAGAGAGAACAGGUUAAAGAGAACGCCUCAAUCGAGAUCCACAAGCAAACAUCUCCGAAAAACACUUCAUAGACAAUGCAAAUUACAAACAGACUUUACAAGCUUUGAAUAGUUGCACAACAAAGGGUAAAAUGGUCCAUUACAGACCGAAAAGCUCUCGCGCGUGUCCACAUGACACAACCUUUAUUUACAAGCCUAAAGAGACCACCAACCCAACAAAAAUGGGACUAUCAAGCCUUCGGCCGCCCCUCUACAUGCUGUACAAGGCAUGGACAUGCCAAAAGACACGGACAUUCAUAAGCAUUACACCAAACAUCCUGUUUCGAAGUUUGUCCGUGAUAGUUCGGUGAUGAGAGGAAGAAAUCUUUGAAACGCACUUUCCAAGUCAAUAUCCUCUACCCCUCCUUGGUUGCCAUUGGUCCUACAGGUCGAACUAGCACAAGGAAUGCCAUGCAUUCGUUGGCGACCCAUGGAGCCGAUGCCUACCCGUUCAGCGAAGAGAGGAUCAAGGAGUUGGACCAGAAGAUAGACGAGAUGGCAAAGGGAUGGCCUGAGAAGAGGAAGCAUGAGCAACACAAGCAUGGGAAGUUGGAGUGGAGCUGCCUGCGCGGCCUGUAUAUGUGUCGUGACUGCCACAAGAUUGGAAGUGGAUGGUGCUACUUGUGCUCCAUGUGCGGUUUCGGUCUCCACCCCAAAUGUGCACCGAAGGAGGAGAAAACGGAAGAGGAAGAACAUGAUGAAGGAUCUGAGUGUGAUGGAGAGGUUUACAACGAUUUCGAAGAUUCUGAAGAUUCUAAAGAUUCCGAAGAUUCUGAGGUUUCUGAAGAUUCUGAAUAAGAAUAUGUAAUGCAAUGGUGUUUGUGUUUUGAUGGGAAGAGCUCGAUGCAAUGAAAGUAGCGGCAUUAUGACAGUCAUAUCCGUAAAAAUAUGAUGAAAAUCUUUUCUUAUUUGCUCCAUAUGAUCAAUCAAGCUUCAUAAUAACAACACCAAUUCAACAAACAUAUUUGAGCCACAAAGACCAAAAAAUAAGAAUGUAUAAUUCAUGGCAACAAAGACGAGAAAAAAUCAGCAGUGCUUCCGUAACUAUGUAUCUGUAAUGAUUGCUCUUCUCUUCCACCAGUAUGCAGAGUAUAAGAAAAAGUGUAUGGUGUAUCCUCUCGUCUCUUCCCGAUUGGAUAUAGCUACAAUGUGUAAAUAUAUUCAUACGUGAUGCGGUGCACUCAGAAGGUGUUAAUGCAAUGCACUCAAAACUGCAAUGCAUCGGACCGGUUCUGUAGUUAUGUUUGUUUCUUUUAAUGUACUCCAAAAUGCAAUGCACUCAGUCUUUUAAUGUACUCCAAAAUGCAAUGCACUCAGAAGACAAACGAACGGAUGAUCUACCAAAGUAAAUGCACAAGAUAAUUAAUUUACUUGUUCAAUGAGAAGUAUUUAAAUUGACACAUGAUUUCAAUUGUUUUGGAUGUCAACCAUGAUUUCUUAUAUUUGAUAUAUCAGGAAAUUGGGAAGCGAGGAAAUACAAUCUCAGGGAAAUACAUUUUCUUUUAAUAGAAACUUUAUAGUUGAUAAAUUGCUUUCCUAAUUUGUUGACGUAGAUAUGAACCUGAUACAACUGCUGCUUCCCCGAUUUUUUGUUGCACUGGAUUGCUGGUUUAUACCCUAUGUCCCUUCUGAGGAUAUCGAAGAUACGAUUCUUUUCAUACAUGCGGUUAUUAGGAAAAAUACCUUCCGCCUUUAGACAAGAGAGAAUAUCAAUUUUUUUCUUGAGGUUGAGGGCUGCUGUGAAGUAAGAAACUUGAUCGAACCUAGAUAAGGAACAUGUGCCGUGCUUAUCCCAUUCAUGUUGCCAGAACGAGUGGCCAUUGCUACUGGGACAGCGAAAACUGUGCCAGUGUUGAAUCAUCUCGCCAAUCAAAGGGUCCAUCUGCAAUCGAAGACAAAGAUAAAAAAAAAACGAUGAACGACUCACACUCUCAUUUUGCAAGGUACCUUUACGAUAGAGUAGUCUGUGUCAGAGCCGAAUAUACUUUACGUCAGUUGUAUUUAGAAGCUGACGGCAUAUUCUUGUCACAAGAUGGAAACAUUCCAUUGCGAAAAGCGGGCCAAAGGUCAUGGAUGGUAAAAAUUUUUUCCGGAUACCCCGUACUCAUAGGACAGCAACGGUUGACGUUGCAAAAUGAUCUGGGCCACUAGAUGUUUCAAAUCAAACGAUCAAUAUAGAGAAGAACAACAAGAUACAAAAAAAAUUAGACUUACCUGAAGAACCAAGUGAAAAUAAUCAUAAUUGGACGCAACAGUGGUGGAGAAAUCAGCAAGAAAGCAAUGGUGGAGAAAACCAGCUAAUUAAUAUUGUCUGACUUUUUAUUCAUAUUGUCAAUUUUGAACUGGAUGCCUGUUAGUUCUUCGAUGUAUCUAGCAUGAAUGACAUCUUUUUUUAUCUUAAUAUGUGCAUCCUGAAUGAUCCAGAUUAGAUGGUCUCUUUUGGUCAUUAAUUUUGAUUUUCAGUGCUAUAAUGAUCUUCUAUCAUAAAUAUCAUUCUUUAUUUGCUUGUGUACAAGCGUAGCUACUUUAUCAUGGAUGUAACUUUUUGUUCAGAGUAGCAUACUGUUAGCAACUAGCUUCAUCAACUUGGACUCCUUUCAAGUCCUUGGAUUCCCAUGAGGAAGGUGUUGACAAUAUUCAUUGGAUUUGGUGGAAAAAAAUCAUUAGUUGAUUGACUCAAUGCCUUGACCAUAAAAUCACUUGUCAGUUUACAUCUGCUCCUUUAAACUAGUUGAUUAAGAAUAAAACAAAGAAAGAGAAAAACUAUUCUAUAUUGGAUUCAGUGAUAAUCUUCUUUUUGUGUUGAAAGGCAAAAUCAAUGUAGUGAUCUGAAGUAAUUUUUAGUUUUUGUUCAAACCGAUAAAUGAAAAGUUAUAUGCCACUUAUUGAUGCUUCUCUAAUGGGGUAUUAUGAUUAUCCUGCCUACUGGCUUAGGUUUCUGAUUAGAUACAGGUUAUUAUGAAGAAGUCUGGUAGGUGUCCUUUUUGCCUUAAAGAUCUCAGUGGUUUACCACAUAGGAUCCUGGUCAACUACCUCUCUUUGCAUGUUUGUGAUAUUAUAAUUUAUAUAGUUUUGCUUCGUGUUUUCUGUCCAAAUUUGUGAGAGAUGGCUUAGUUUUGUUUGUGACUUUUAAAGGCAGACUAGUCUCUAAACUUAUGCAUCUUCCAGGGGCUUUGCCAUACAAUAAUUUUAAUUGUUGACUUGACAGUUCCACUGGUGAUCAUAUUUGCUUGUAAAUGAUGAUUCAAGUUUUACCAAGCUAUCUUUAUAAGCACAAAAGGCUAAUUAAGCUGAAAUCUCUGAGAAAUUAGUCAGUGAAUUGGAAGUAUUAUGUCAUAAAUUUCUUGGUAGUUGUCUUUUAACUAAUAUAUAAUAUGCUAGAUUGAGAUUCCAUAAUAAGUAUCUAGGUGAUGUUUGUUUGAUUUGAUGAACCCUAGCAUUUUUAAAAGUUGAGUCAAAUGAUGUUGAACAUUCUUUCUUAGUUUCUUGUUUUUGACUUGAUAGUUCUAUACUUGUUCUUUCAGUAAAUGUUGCUUUAUUUUUUGUGAUGUUUAGUUUUAGAGCAUAGCUUCUUAGUGUCAACCACAACAAGAAUCAUGUGAUGUUACAGGAAAUUUGGUUUUCAUGGUUUCAACCUUCUACAAAAGUAGAUAUGUUCUAGAAUAACCAAAUAUGGUAAAUGACUCCCUUAAAUUCUUAGCAUCAUAAUUGAUCCUAAAUUUCUUCUGACAACGUGUUGGCUUCAAUAUUCAUGUAUGUAAAUUUCUUGGGACAGAAGAUUGACAUAUUAUGUAUUGCAUUUUGCUCACUUGUAAAUCUACCAUUGUUACUAAUAUAAAGCACAGUAUGUAACAAGCAAGUAGGUAAUUUCAUAGUUGAAAGGCAGAUCCCACAAUUGAGGUGCUCUCCAACCUAGAAGUCACGGUACGCCAUGAAGUACAGGCAUUGCGACGGGAAGCUGGUCCUCAAGGUCACAGACAAUCGCGAGCCGUGGAGGAACGUCGAUCUCUCUCUCUUCUCCUCCUUGUGCAAUCUUCUGCCCUUUAGAGGUUCUGAAAUUUGCGCCAUUGGAUUUGGAUUCCCUGUCAAUUGCGUUCUUUUCGUUCUUUCUCGAGUUUGGUUUAUCAGAUUUUUCAGAAACUCUAUCCUGCACUCAGCUAGGUCCCACGAUGAAAUCUUUGAUUGUGUUUAUUAUGUAUUGCUGCAUUGUAGUAAAAUUUCUGUUGGAUCAUAUUCACAAUGUUAUGGUUUGCACCUAUUGUGUGGAUAAUGUACUUUUUACUAUUAUACAUGAAACAAUUGGCUUAAAUCA
Long non-coding RNA from Musa acuminata AAA Group (dessert banana), 11553 nucleotides. RefSeq lists it as uncharacterized. NCBI's taxonomy places the organism in Eukaryota, Viridiplantae, Streptophyta, Magnoliopsida, Zingiberales, Musaceae. The transcript is spliced from 3 exons. The record is from RefSeq and is a predicted model, not a curated record.